GGGGAAAUAUGGGACGCGCUGGAUUCAGGAUCCAGUGGGAGUUAAUCCCGUGCGGGUUCAAAUCCCGUCCUCG
RNAcentral lists this transfer RNA (73 nucleotides) under Thermodesulfobacteriota bacterium. Its description in RNAcentral is "tRNA-Leu". The record is from RNAcentral. Lineage: Bacteria; Pseudomonadati; Thermodesulfobacteriota.